UGCCAGCCGCCGCGGUAACACGUAGGCACCAAGCGUUGUCCGGAUUUAUUGGGCGUAAAGAGCUCGUAGGCGGUUCGGUAAGUCGGGUGUGAAAACUCUGGGCUCAACCCAGAGACGCCACUCGAUACUGCUGUGACUUGAGUACGGUAGGGGAGCGGGGAAUUCCUGGUGUAGCGGUGAAAUGCGUUGAUAUUGGAAGGAACGCCAAAAGCGAAAGCAGCUAACUACAGAGAACCUGACGGUGAGAGACGAAAGCUUGGGGAGCGAACGGGAUUAGAUA
This 280-nucleotide ribosomal RNA is filed under the name uncultured bacterium. Its description in RNAcentral is "partial 16S ribosomal RNA". It matches the Rfam family "Bacterial small subunit ribosomal RNA", at positions 506 to 784 of the family's 1533-position model. The record is from RNAcentral.